RNAcentral lists this ribosomal RNA (651 nucleotides) under uncultured Acinetobacter sp. Its description in RNAcentral is "bacterial SSU rRNA". It matches the Rfam family "Bacterial small subunit ribosomal RNA", at positions 95 to 739 of the family's 1533-position model. Lineage: Bacteria; Pseudomonadati; Pseudomonadota; Gammaproteobacteria; Moraxellales; Moraxellaceae. The record is from RNAcentral.
GCGGCGGACGGGUGAGUAAUACUUAGGAGUCUGCCUAUUAAUGGGGGACAACAUCUCGAAAGGGAUGCUAAUACCGCAUACGCCCUACGGGGGAAAGCAGGGGAUCACUUGUGACCUUGCGUUAAUAGAUGAGCCUAAGUCGGAUUAGCUAGUUGGUGGGGUAAAGGCCUACCAAGGCGACGAUCUGUAGCGGGUCUGAGAGGAUGAUCCGCCACACUGGGACUGAGACACGGCCCAGACUCCUACGGGAGGCAGCAGUGGGGAAUAUUGGACAAUGGGGGGAACCCUGAUCCAGCCAUGCCGCGUGUGUGAAGAAGGCCUUAUGGUUGUAAAGCACUUUAAGCGAGGAGGAGGCUCUUUUGGUUAAUACCCAAGAUGAGUGGACGUUACUCGCAGAAUAAGCACCGGCUAACUCUGUGCCAGCAGCCGCGGUAAUACAGAGGGUGCGAGCGUUAAUCGGAUUUACUGGGCGUAAAGCGUGCGUAGGCGGCUUAUUAAGUCGGAUGUGAAAUCCCCGAGCUUAACUUGGGAAUUGCAUUCGAUACUGGUGAGCUAGAGUAUGGGAGAGGAUGGUAGAAUUCCAGGUGUAGCGGUGAAAUGCGUAGAGAUCUGGAGGAACACCGGUGGCGAAGGCGGGUCUCUGGGCCGAUA